Molecule: ribosomal RNA, 465 nt
Filed under: uncultured Klebsiella sp.
Lineage: Bacteria; Pseudomonadati; Pseudomonadota; Gammaproteobacteria; Enterobacterales; Enterobacteriaceae
Description: bacterial SSU rRNA
Rfam family: Bacterial small subunit ribosomal RNA
Source: RNAcentral
CCUACGGGAGGCUGCAGUGGGGAAUAUUGCACAAUGGGCGCAAGCCUGAUGCAGCCAUGCCGCGUGUGUGAAGAAGGCCUUCGGGUUGUAAAGCACUUUCAGCGGGGAGGAAGGCGUUAAGGUUAAUAACCUUGGCGAUUGACGUUACCCGCAGAAGAAGCACCGGCUAACUCCGUGCCAGCAGCCGCGGUAAUACGGAGGGUGCAAGCGUUAAUCGGAAUUACUGGGCGUAAAGCGCACGCAGGCGGUCUGUCAAGUCGGAUGUGAAAUCCCCGGGCUCAACCUGGGAACUGCAUUCGAAACUGGCAGGCUAGAGUCUUGUAGAGGGGGGUAGAAUUCCAGGUGUAGCGGUGAAAUGCGUAGAGAUCUGGAGGAAUACCGGUGGCGAAGGCGGCCCCCUGGACAAAGACUGACGCUCAGGUGCGAAAGCGUGGGGAGCAAACAGGAUUAGAUGCCCGAGUAGUC